RNAcentral lists this microRNA (18 nucleotides) under Schistosoma japonicum. RNAcentral's name for it is "sja-miR-3486-5p". Lineage: Eukaryota; Metazoa; Platyhelminthes; Trematoda; Strigeidida; Schistosomatidae. The record is from miRBase by way of RNAcentral.
UCUCUGUGUUGAAUUUGA